AACGAACGCUGGCGGCAUGCCUAACACAUGCAAGUCGAACGAUGCCUUCGGGCAUAGUGGCGCACGGGUGCGUAACGCGUGGGAAUCUGCCUUUCGGUUCGGAAUAACUCAGGGAAACUUGAGCUAAUACCGGAUAACGUCGCAAGACCAAAGAUUUAUCACCGAAAGAUGAGCCCGCGUAGGAUUAGCUAGUUGGUGAGGUAAAGGCUCACCAAGGCGACGAUCCUUAGCUGGUCUGAGAGGAUGAUCAGCCACACUGGGACUGAGACACGGCCCAGACUCCUACGGGAGGCAGCAGGGGGGAAUAUUGGACAAUGGGCGAAAGCCUGAUCCAGCAAUGCCGCGUGAGUGAUGAAGGCCUUAGGGUUGUAAAGCUCUUUUACCCGGGAAGAUAAUGACGGUAUCGGGAGAAUAAGCCCCGGCUAACUCCGUG
This 433-nucleotide ribosomal RNA is filed under the name uncultured bacterium. RNAcentral's name for it is "partial 16S ribosomal RNA". It matches the Rfam family "Bacterial small subunit ribosomal RNA", at positions 29 to 507 of the family's 1533-position model. The record is from RNAcentral.